RNAcentral lists this long non-coding RNA (316 nucleotides) under Nicotiana benthamiana. Its description in RNAcentral is "long non-coding RNA (NBEN_LNC019312)". The record is from RNAcentral. Lineage: Eukaryota; Viridiplantae; Streptophyta; Magnoliopsida; Solanales; Solanaceae.
AGGGGUGUUCAUUGGGCGGAUUGGGCGGCUUUUUACUCUAACGGUUUGGCUUGACGGUUAUCGGCUUUUAAAUGUAUUCAUCCGUUAGCCACCCGAUAAGAUAUCGGGCGGAUUGGUAUCGGGUUAGCUCUUAUCGGGCGGUAACUGGGCGGUUUAUCGGUUUAAUACCUAAGGGCUCAAAUGUAUUCUGUCCGCACACUAGGACAUAACUAAAAUUUCAUGUGCAUGACAUUCAAAGGCAUCUGACCUUGCCAUGGAUUUUACAAUUGACAAUGAAACAAAGAAAAAGAGAAGAUAAGAUACAUUGUCAGGUUUA